Molecule: long non-coding RNA, 357 nt
Filed under: Suricata suricatta (meerkat)
Lineage: Eukaryota; Metazoa; Chordata; Mammalia; Carnivora; Herpestidae
Description: lncRNA (ENSSSUG00005016419.1)
Source: RNAcentral
GAAAGAGAGAUUGGGGUCAUAAUAACAGGACACUUUAAAGCAUUCACAUAGUUUGUAUAUUAUUCUAUAUCAAAUAAAACUAGAGACAAAAAAUUAAGAUUGGGUGAUUUUUGUUUUUUUCAUCCUAGGGGAACCUGAUUUGAGAUCAUUUCUUGGAGAACACAGAGAAGUGUGGUGGUAUGUUCCAGAAUGCAGCCCAUGCAUGUACUCUAUUCCUGCAUUAAGUGAUCUUAGACAUAUGUGCUGGAUUACCAUAACAACAUACAAUCAGGCAGAGCACCAAUGAAAGCUUGGCUGUAAUUCAGAAGAAUGAAAACACUGUGUGAAGACUGUUCUAUAGACAACUUACCUUCAGUG